RNAcentral lists this long non-coding RNA (379 nucleotides) under Phoenix dactylifera (date palm). RNAcentral's name for it is "long non-coding RNA (PDAC_LNC015078)". Lineage: Eukaryota; Viridiplantae; Streptophyta; Magnoliopsida; Arecales; Arecaceae. The record is from RNAcentral.
AACUAAUUAAUUUCCAAUAGACGAGGUGGUUACUGUGACUUAUCUACCACUCCAUGCACACCGAGAAGGGCGAUGACAAGUGGCAAAGGUUAUUCCUUCUUUCUUUAUUCCGUGGGACAGCUGCGAUGCAAGGGCUUUGAGACGCCCCUCAGUCCCCUAGUCCUCCAGGUUCGAGUACAGCUGUGCAAGCGAUUCGCCCCUACGCCACAUGCCGGUGGGUCUAAAAGAAGGGGAACGGUUGGCAAAGUGGGUAGUGGCAGAACAUGCUUUGGAAGUAGGGAGGAACGUCAGCAUAGUUAUAUUAUUGUCGAUCCUGUCAUUAUUUGAAGGCUUCCUCAAUUUCUUGAGCAAGAAACGAGAAAAGUGAAAAAAUACGAGG